AAAUAAAAAAAAAAAAUUUUUUAACUUUAUAAAAAUUUUUAAAAUAUAAAUAAAAAUAAAUGAAAAAAAUAAAUUAAGGGAAAAAAUAAAAAUAAACAAAAAAAGUAACAAAGUAAGAAAAUAAAAAUUAGCGAAUCAAAAAAAUAUAAUAAGACAAAAUGUAUAAAAUUUCAAAUAUAAAAUGAAAAAACUUUUAGUUUAGAAUGUACAAAGAAAAACAAAAAAAAAUAUAACAAAUAGAGGACAAAGAUAUAAAAUAUGAAAGAUGAAAAAUAAAAUAAAAGUUAAUAAAAAAUAUGAAUAAAAAUAAAAGAAAGUGACAAAAAAAGAAGUUUGAGGUUUUAAAAUUAUAAAGAAGAAAUAAAAAAAAAGUGUGAACAAAAAGAUUUAAGAAAAAGCAAGAAAAAAAUAAAAAAGGAAAAUACAAAAUACACAAAAAAAAUUUUGAGAAAAAAAAAAAGAGAAAAAGAAGAAAAAAAUAAAAAAUGAAGAGGCAAAAAUAUGAAAGAAAAGAAAAAGAAAAAAAAUUUAUAGACAAUUUUAAAACAAAGGAAAAAGUGAACAAAAAAAAAAAAUAAAAGCACAUAAAAAAAAGAAGAAAAAUUUGAAAGGAGAAAAAGUUAAUGAAAAAUUAUAAAAUGCAAAAGAGAAUAACCAAGAAUGAUAAAAGAAAAAAAGAUAGAAAAAUAAAAAAUUCCAAAACUUUAUAAAAAUUUAUAAAACUAUAAACAAAGAAAGAAAAUAAAAAAUAAAUAUAGAAAAAGAAAAAAUACAAUAAAAAUAUAAAAAGGACAAAAAUUGAAUAAAAAUUUCAAAAAUGAAAUGGAAUGACAAAAUGAAAAAAAAUAGUUUAAAAAAUACAAAAAUUGAAAAACAUAUAAGACCUAACAAUAUAAAAAGUCAGAGAAAAAAAUUAAAAAGAGAAAAAGUUAAUGCAAAAUAAAAAAAAGUAUGAGAAUUUAAAAACGCAAAUAAGAAAUGAAAGGAAAUUUGUGGGGAAAAAAAAGAAAAGCAAGAAAAGAAUAAAAAUGAAAAGAAAAAAGAUUUGGAAUAAAAAACAGAAAAAUAAAAAUUUUAAAACAAUUAAAAAUAGAAGAAAGUGCACAAAAAAAAAGUUUCAGGUUUUAAAAUUAUGAAGAAGAAAUAAAAAAAAGUGUGAACAAAAAGAUUUAAGAAAAAGCAAGAAAAAAAAUAAAAAAUGAAAAUACAAAAUACAUAAAAUAAAAUUUGAGAAAAAAUGAGAAAAGGAAGAAAAAAAUAAGAAAUGAAGAGGCAAAAAUAUGAAAGAAAAGAAAAGAAAAAGAAAAAAAUUUAUAGAAAAUUUUAAAACAAAGGAAAAAGUUAACAAAAAAAAUGAAAGCACAUAAAAAAAAGAAGAAAAAUUUGAAAGGAGAAAAAGUUAAUGAAAAAUUAUAAAAAUGCAAUAGAAAAUAACCGAGAAUGAUAAAAGAAAAAAAGAUAGAAAAAUAAAAAAUUCCAAAACUUUAUAAAAAUUUAUGAAACUAUAAACAAAGAAAGAAAAUAAAAAAUAAAAAGAAAAAAUGAAAGCAAAAGAAAAAAAGAUAAUAAAGCAAAAAAAAAAAAAAAAAACAAAAAAACAAAAAAAAAAAAAAAAAUAAAAAAACAAAAAAGAAUAAAAAUUUAAAAAAAAGGACAAAAAGAAAAAAUAAAAAUUUCAAAAAUGAAAAAUAGAUACAAUAAAAAAAAAAAAAAAAAAAAAAAAAAAAAAAAAAAAAAAAAAAAAAAAAAAAAAAAAAAAAAAAAAAAAAAAAAAAAAAAAAAAAAAAAAAAGUCAGAAAAAAAAAAGAAGUAUGAGAAUUAAAAGGAAAUAAAAAAUGAAAGGAAAUUUGUGGAAAAAAAAUUGAAAAGGCAAAAGAUUUGGAAUAAAAAACAGAGAAAUAAAAAAUUUUAAAACAACGAAAAAAAAAACAAGAACAAGGAAAAUUGUGAAGGGAAAAAGUUAUUAAAAAAUUACAAAGUAGAAAAAAAAAAAAAAAAAAAUUGAACUUUAUAAAAAUUUUCUAAAAUAUAAAUAAAAAAUAAUUAAGAGAAAAAAUUAAAUGAAAUACGAAAGUAAGAAAAUGAAAAAUCAGCGAAUCAAAAAAAUAUAAAAAGACAAAAUGAAUAAAAAUUUCAAAUAUAAAAUGGAAAAAAACUAUUAGUUUAGAAU
Molecule: long non-coding RNA, 2170 nt
Filed under: Durio zibethinus
Lineage: Eukaryota; Viridiplantae; Streptophyta; Magnoliopsida; Malvales; Malvaceae
Description: long non-coding RNA (DZIB_LNC001798)
Source: RNAcentral